ACAAAACCGACCUUAGCUCAGUUGGUAGAGCGGAAGACUGUAGUAGUAGCUGUAAUCUUUAGGUCGCUGGUUCGAUUCCGGCAGGUCGGAUUUUUUUCAUCUAUUUGGAAAAUUCUGUCAAUUUUUU
This 127-nucleotide transfer RNA is filed under the name Arabidopsis thaliana (thale cress). RNAcentral describes it as "ATSL241310". The stretch from base 7 to 90 matches the Rfam family "tRNA". From Rfam's summary of the family: Transfer RNA (tRNA) molecules are approximately 80 nucleotides in length. Their secondary structure includes four short double-helical elements and three loops (D, anti-codon, and T loops). Further hydrogen bonds mediate the characteristic L-shaped molecular structure. tRNAs have two regions of fundamental functional importance: the anti-codon, which is responsible for specific mRNA codon recognition, and the 3' end, to which the tRNAs corresponding amino acid is attached (by aminoacyl-tRNA synthetases). tRNAs cope with the degeneracy of the genetic code in two manners: having more than one tRNA (with a specific anti-codon) for a particular amino acid; and 'wobble' base-pairing, i.e. permitting non-standard base-pairing at the 3rd anti-codon position. The record is from RNAcentral. Lineage: Eukaryota; Viridiplantae; Streptophyta; Magnoliopsida; Brassicales; Brassicaceae.